GAUGAACGCUGGCGGCGUGCCUAAUACAUGCAAGUCGAGCGAACAGACGAGGAGCUUUCUCCUCUGACGUUAGCGGCGGACGGGUGAGUAACACGUGGAUAACCUACCUAUAAGACUGGGAUAACUUCGGGAAACCGGAGCUAAUACCGGAUAAUAUAUCGAACUGCAUGGUGCAAUAGUGAAAGACGGUUUUGCUGUCACUUAUAGAUGGAUCCGCGCCGCAUUAGCUAGUUGGUAAGGUAACGGCUUACCAAGGCAACGAUGCGUAGCCGACCUGAGAGGGUGAUCGGCCACACGGGAACUGAGACACGGUCCAGACUCCUGCGCGAGGCAGCAGUCGGGAAUCUUCCGCAAUGGGCGAAAGCCUGACAGAGCAACACCGCGUGAGUGAUGAAGGUCUUCGGAUCGUAAAACUCUGUUAUUAGGGAAGAACAAAUGUGUAAGUAACUAUGCACGUCUUGACGGUACCUGAACAGAAAGCCCCGGCUAACUACGUG
RNAcentral lists this ribosomal RNA (497 nucleotides) under uncultured bacterium. Its description in RNAcentral is "partial 16S ribosomal RNA". It matches the Rfam family "Bacterial small subunit ribosomal RNA", at positions 28 to 507 of the family's 1533-position model. The record is from RNAcentral.